UACAGAGGGUGCAAGCGUUAAUCGGAAUUACUGGGCGUAAAGCGCACGUAGGCGGUUUUUUAAGUCAGAUGUGAAAGCCCCGGGCUCAACCUGGGAACUGCAUUGGAGACUGCGUGGCUAGAGUGUGGCAGAGGGGGGUGGAAUUCCGCGUGUAGCAGUGAAAUGCGUAGAUAUGCGGAGGAACACCAAUGGCGAAGGCAAUCCCCUGGGCCUGUACUGACGCUCAUGCACGAAAGCGUGGGGAGCAAACAGG
Molecule: ribosomal RNA, 253 nt
Filed under: uncultured bacterium
Lineage: Bacteria
Description: partial 16S ribosomal RNA
Rfam family: Bacterial small subunit ribosomal RNA
Source: RNAcentral